RNAcentral lists this transfer RNA (84 nucleotides) under Actinokineospora sp. UTMC 2448. RNAcentral describes it as "tRNA-Tyr". The record is from RNAcentral. Lineage: Bacteria; Bacillati; Actinomycetota; Actinomycetes; Pseudonocardiales; Pseudonocardiaceae.
GGUGGAGCUGGGCUGUGGAGCCCGACCCGGCGGUAAACCGGGAGCCCCUGCGGGCACAGGUGGUUCGACUCCACCCUCCACCAC